This 772-nucleotide small RNA is filed under the name Pan troglodytes (chimpanzee). RNAcentral's name for it is "processed transcript". Lineage: Eukaryota; Metazoa; Chordata; Mammalia; Primates; Hominidae. The record is from RNAcentral.
GCUGGAUCUGCAUUAAAUGUCGAAAGGAAGGCGGAGAGGGGUGAGACAAGAGGUGGGAGGUGAGGCAGGUGGGAGCCUGACCCUGGAGAACCCCGCAGGUGGUGCUUCUGACUUUCAGUUUCAGCUUUGACACCAGCAUGGAGCUGACUGUUUGUCCUUUGCUCUGGUAUUUAGAGAAAUGUGAUGCCCAAGACUUUGGAUGGGCAAAUAACCAUGGAGAAGACUCCAAGUUACUUUGUGACAAAUGAGGCUCCCAAGCGCAUUCACUCCAUGGCCAAGGACAUCAAACUGAUUGUGGUGGUGAGAAACCCCGUGACCAGGGCCAUCUCUGACUACACGCAGACACUGUCAAAGAAACCCGAGAUCCCCACCUUUGAGGUGCUGGCCUUCAAAAACCGGACCCUCGGGCUGAUCGAUGCUUCCUGGAGUGCCAUUCGAAUAGGGAUCUAUGCGCUGCAUCUGGAAAACUGGCUCCAGUAUUUCCCCCUCUCCCAGAUCCUCUUUGUCAGUGGUGAGCGACUCAUUGUGGACCCCGCCGGGGAAAUGGCCAAAGUACAGGAUUUUCUAGGCCUCAAACGUGUUGUGACUGAGAAGCAUUUCUAUUUCAACAAAACCAAGGGGUUCCCUUGCCUAAAGAAGCCGGAAGACAGCAGUGCCCCGAGGUGCUUAGGCAAGAGCAAAGGUCGGACUCAUCCUCGCAUUGACCCAGAUGUCAUCCACAGACUGAGGAAAUUCUACAAACCCUUCAACAUGAUGUUUUACCAAAUGACUG